Molecule: ribosomal RNA, 301 nt
Filed under: uncultured bacterium
Lineage: Bacteria
Description: partial 16S ribosomal RNA
Rfam family: Bacterial small subunit ribosomal RNA
Source: RNAcentral
CAGCAGCCACGGGAAUACGAGGGGGGCAAGCGUUGUUCGGAAUUAUUGGGCGUAAAGGGUGCGUAGGCGGUUUCGUAAGUCUUAUGUGAAAUCUAUGGGCUCAACCCAUAGUCUGCAUGGGAAACUGCGAGGCUUGAGGAUGGGAGAGGUGAGUGGAAUUUCCGGUGUAGCGGCGAAAUGCGUAGAUAUCGGAAGGAACACCUGUGGCGAAAGCGGCUCACUGGACCAUUUCUGACGCUGAUGCACGAAAGCUAGGGGAGCAAACAGGAUUAGAUACCCCCGUAGUCCCUGUCUCUUAUAA